AAUCUGCCCAGUAGUGGGGAAGUAAACCUGGGGAAACUCAGGCUAAUACCGCAUACGAACUACGGUUGAAAGCAGGGGAUCGCAAGACCUUGCGCUAUUGGAUGAGCCGAAGUCGGAUUAGCUAGUUGGUGGGGUAAAGGCUCACCAAGGCGACGAUCCGUAGCUGGUCUGAGAGGACGACCAGCCACACUGGAACUGAGACACGGUCCAG
Molecule: ribosomal RNA, 211 nt
Filed under: uncultured bacterium
Lineage: Bacteria
Description: partial 16S ribosomal RNA
Rfam family: Bacterial small subunit ribosomal RNA
Source: RNAcentral